RNAcentral lists this microRNA precursor (101 nucleotides) under Podarcis lilfordi (Lilford's wall lizard). Lineage: Eukaryota; Metazoa; Chordata; Lepidosauria; Squamata; Lacertidae. The record is from RNAcentral.
UUCUCUCUCUCUCUCUCUCUCUCUCUCUCUCUCUCUCCCCCCGCCCCGUGAAGAUAAAUUGAGACAGAGAGAGAGAGAGAGAGAGAGAGAGAGAGAGAGAG